Long non-coding RNA from Homo sapiens (human), 2428 nucleotides. Ensembl annotates it as TMEM72 antisense RNA 1. Its record names the gene TMEM72-AS1. NCBI's taxonomy places the organism in Eukaryota, Metazoa, Chordata, Mammalia, Primates, Hominidae. The record is from Ensembl.
CCCGCCCCGAGCACGCCCCUCACUCCGCACCGGCCAAUGGCACCGCCCCGUCCGCCCCGCUCUGGGAACGCCGCCCUUUCUCUGUCUACAAAACCAACUUCCUCGCCCAGCUCAUGGGAACACUUAUUCUGUUGUAUAGAAUGAAGUGUUGCUUGAUUCUAGAAUCAUGCCAUUAAGAACAUUCAUGAUUCAUGAGAGGAGAUCAAAAUAUCAACAUAAACAGGAGUUUGAAAGAAGUUGAUUUCAACCCUUGUGGAUGACUAUGAGAGAUUCAAGGCUUCAGUGGAGAAUGCACCUACAGAUAUGGUGGAAACAGCAAAAGAAAUAGAAUCAGAAGUGGAGCCUGAAGAUUAAACUGAAUUGCUGCAAUCUCAUGAUAAAACUUGAACAGAUGAGGAGUUGCUUCUUACAGGUUCCUGGGCAGUGCAGUGGGAUGUCUGCUUGGUUUCUGCUGAUCCUCACAGAGCCUGGUGACUUCUUCCUCCCAGGUCUGUGGAUCAACACUGUCUCCCUGGCCUCUACCCAGCGCGCAGGACCCCUUAGCAGAGCAGGAGAACUCAGGUUGGAACUCAUUAUUGCAUGGUGCUUGUCUUGCCAUCUGUCCCCAUAAUGCCUUAAGUGACAAUGACAUAGGCAUCUGACAAUGUAUGUGGCCAUCACUUUUUAUCAUUUUAAGAUAUAUGGGCCUUCUUUUUCCAACUCUUUUCCCCCGCCAGACAGCCAGGAGCCCAGAGAAGGGUUGUGUUGUGUCCUUUACUGAGCCCCACAGGCCUGUGUGAGCCAGGGGCUUGGCAUGCCUGGGAAUAAGAGCGCCAGCCUUUGGCCUUCCCGCAGCCUCUCCUUGGGGCCUUUAGGGUCCCCACAGGCCCUCCCCUCCCCUCUGCAUUUUCCAGGAUCCAGCCAGCUGCCGGCACACUUUCGUCCUCCUCCGCACACGAGGAUCCCCAGGCCCAGCGGUGUUAGCCCAGAGAGGAGCGGCGUUUGGGAUGUGAUCCACAGCUGAUCCCUCGUGGCCCCUCCUCUCCCGAAUCCUGAAACAUGAGGAGGCCCUUCAGCUGCUGGCUCGGAGUCCGACUAUGGGAACUUUCUCCGGUCUACGGGGGCAGCAAGGGUCUCGCCUCAGGGACUUGGUUUAUUUAUCUAGCUGGACUCCAUCCCUUAAUAUCCUACUUACAGAGGAAGAGGCUUUAGCAGCUAAAUGCAGCCCCAUCCCCUCCUGUGGAGACUGUGAGCAGAAAAAGAACAGAUAUUUACAGAGGCCCGAGCCCCCCUUGUUGUUUUCUGCAAGGCUGUCGAGCUGGUGGAGCUUCAGGAUCCUGGUCAGGAACCCCGAACCCAGCGCUGGAGGCCCUGAAGAUCAGGGCACCCGACCCUCUUCCCAGCCGCCAAAGGCCUGUGUUGGUCUGAUUGUGGAUUCCAAGCUCUAAUUUCCAUCCAUCCUCCCAAUCCGAAUUCCCUUUGCAGACAUAAACACCAUCAGCAAUGUAGAGAAUGUGUUUCCUCAUCUUUGAAUAUUAACACUCAUCUGUUUAAUUGAGCUACUUUUUACAUACAUGUAAGAUGUGCUGCAAUUGCAAAAGAAACAUGUGCUUCGUGUUCUAUAAGCCAUAUCUUCCGCAAGACCUGCCAUCAAAUGAUUGCUCAAACAUUUGUUGAAUGGGAUGAGCAAUGGAGGUUCAGACAGGUGCCCUGACCUACCCAGGCUGGAGGGUAGGGAGCUAGAAAUUCAUACAACCAUGCCUUGUUCUACUUGUUUUGUGAAAGAAUCAUGUGACCAGUGACAAAGAGGCUGGGCAGCUGGGUCAGGCAGCAGGGACAGCGACUGAGCUGGGGGGACUACAGUGCUGUGCUCCUCUGCACCCGUGCUGGGAUGUCUGAGGCCAAGCUGACACUGGCCCCCCACAAUCCCUUGGGGCUGCUCCUCCUCAGGGAGUGGCUCUCCGGGUUUCCUGCUUGACUCCUGCUGCUCUUGUGUUGAAGGGCCGUCUCUGGGCAGCUCCCCCUGGCCCCUGGCCAGAGAGCCAGGCCCUGUCAGGCACGCACAUGGAGGAUGAGGGAGGUGCAGUUGUUUUCACAGGUGCAGACUCUAGAGGGACCCCACGUGGACUCUGUGGCUUCUGCCCCGACGCACUCGCGGGAGGACACAGCUCUGCCCGGAAGGGAGAGUGCUGAGCUGGGUCCCUGCUGCUCAUCUCUGUGGCAUCACCCUGUCAGUCCUUCCCUGUCACACAUAUGUUCCGCAAGACCUGCCGUCAAAUAUUUGCUCAGUCAAACAUUUGUUGAAUGGGAUGAGCCAUGGAGGUUCAGACAGAUGCCGUGACCUGAAGUGUCAAAUGAAGGGAUGCGUGUGUGAUGGCCUUCACCAUUUAUAUUGUUUUAAACUUGCUAAGCACUAGUUAAAAUAAAAAAGCCAACACUUUUCUUUACA